This 384-nucleotide unclassified non-coding RNA is filed under the name uncultured Pseudobdellovibrionaceae bacterium. RNAcentral describes it as "uncultured Bdellovibrionaceae bacterium contains 16S-23S intergenic spacer region". Lineage: Bacteria; Pseudomonadati; Bdellovibrionota; Bdellovibrionia; Bdellovibrionales; Pseudobdellovibrionaceae. The record is from RNAcentral.
UCCGGUUUAUCACGCGGCAGUCUCGCUAGAGUCCCCAACUUAAUGAUGGUAACUAGCGACAGGGGUUGCGCUCGUUGCCGGACUUAACCGAACACCUCACAGCACGAGCUGACGACAGCCAUGCAGCACCUGUCAUCGGGCUCCCUCGUGAGAGGGCACCCUCACGUUUCCGUGAGGUUCCCGAGAUGUCAAGCCUGGGUAAGGUUCUGCGCGUUGCUUCGAAUUAAACCACAUGCUCCGCUGCUUGUGCGGGUCCCCGUCAAUUCCUUUGAGUUUUAGCCUUGCGGCCGUACUCCCCAGGCGGGGCACUUAAUGCGUUAGCUCCGGCACGGGAGGAGUCGACACCUCCCACACCUAGUGCCCAUCGUUUACGGCGUGGACUAC